GGUGCCUUUUGAUGUAUUUAAAAUCUAGUAAUAAAAUGAAAAUCCAGCAUUGUUAAAUUAAAAGUCAUGUGUAAAAUCUCAACCUAAUUGCAUAGAAAUGAAAAAACAUGGAAUCAUGCCAAAGCAUAGAAAGAGGUGACGGAUAAUUUCAAUAACAAUGUAAUGGUUCUGAAGCUGACCCUCCAACUAAUUGACCCUUAUGAAACUAAUGUAUUUGAACAAUCCCUAAAAUAGUUGGCUGACAUGAUGAGAAGUACAAUAAUCCAAUUCAGUAAAAAGAAAAAUUUUCAAGUCACUAAUUCCAAUAAUUAACAGAAAAUAAAAGCUUUAUGAAUUCCACAAAGUAGUUUCUUGUCAGAUUCCUACAGAAAAAAAUAUGGAUACCAAUAGAAUUCACUGUGUUCUUAAUUAGAGAAGGAAACACAUUAAAAUACACUAGAUAACAACAUCAAACCCACUUUGAUGAAAGCUCCCCAUAUUUUUUUACCCAAACACUAACCUUCUCCCACUAUAAAUAUUACCAUUACAGAUUAACAAUGCUCACCCUGGCAACAGCUUUCAUUUGGAAGCAGACUAAUUUCAGAAGUUAAAAUGGCACAGAGUAGAAAAUGACAUACUGCAUAUCCUGGGAGAUCAGAUUU
RNAcentral lists this unclassified non-coding RNA (641 nucleotides) under Hevea brasiliensis (rubber tree). Lineage: Eukaryota; Viridiplantae; Streptophyta; Magnoliopsida; Malpighiales; Euphorbiaceae. The record is from RNAcentral.